UAGUGANUAAACUGUUGCCCUCUGUGCUGGCUCUGCAAGUGCACGUCGGUGACUUUCAUUCCAAUACCCUUGUGAACCUUUGGCCUCUUGCUAGCUUCGGCUGGCAGAGGAUUCUACAUACAAACUCGCAUGUAAUGAAACUCUUGUUGUGCACAAGCACUACUAUACAACUUUCAACAACGGAUCUCUUGGCUCUCGCAUCGAUGAAGAACGCAGCGAAAUGCGAUAAGUAAUGUGAAUUGCAGAAUUCAGUGAAUCAUCGAAUCUUUGAACGCACCUUGCACCCUUUGGCAUUCUGAAGGGUAUGCUCGUUUGAGUGUCAUUGUACUCUCACACUUCCGAUCUUGCAUUGGGAGCGGUGGACUUGGGUUUGCUGCCUUACCGUAGCUUACCUCAAAUGUGUUAGUGCAACUCUUGGUUGGACAUAGUACGGCGUGAUAAGUAUCUUCGCCGGUGCCUCGCAAUUGCGAGGGUGGCCGAUCGGGAUGUUGUGCUCCAAACCGUCUUCGGACAAUCUCUGACAACUUGACCUCAAAUCGAGUAAGACUACCCGCUGAAC
This 559-nucleotide ribosomal RNA is filed under the name ectomycorrhizal root tip (cf. Sebacina incrustans). RNAcentral describes it as "eukaryotic LSU rRNA". The stretch from base 169 to 322 matches the Rfam family "5.8S ribosomal RNA". The record is from RNAcentral. Lineage: Eukaryota; Fungi; Basidiomycota; Agaricomycetes; Sebacinales; Sebacinaceae.